This 459-nucleotide ribosomal RNA is filed under the name uncultured bacterium. RNAcentral's name for it is "partial 16S ribosomal RNA". It matches the Rfam family "Bacterial small subunit ribosomal RNA", at positions 338 to 795 of the family's 1533-position model. The record is from RNAcentral.
CCUACGGGAGGCAGCAGUGAGGAAUAUUGGUCAAUGGUCGGGAGACUGAACCAGCCAAGCCGCGUGAGGGAUGAAGGUACAGAGUAUCGUAAACCUCUUUUGUCAGGGAACAAAGGCGGGGACGUGUCCCCGGAUGAGUGUACCUGAAGAAAAAGCAUCGGCUAACUCCGUGCCAGCAGCCGCGGUAAUCCGGGGGAUGCAGGCGUUGUCCGGUUUUAUGGGUUUUAAAGGGUGGUCAGGCGGUCUGUUCAGUCAGCGGGCAAAGCCCGGGGUUCAACCCCGGCCCGCCGUUGAAACUGGCAGUCUCGAGUUGGAGAGAAGUAUGCGGAAUGCGCGGUGUAGCGGUGAAAUGCAUAGAUAUCGCGCAGAACUCCGAUUGCGAAGGCAGCAUGCCGGCUCCACACUGACGCUGAGGCACGAAAGCGUGGGUAUCGAACAGGAUUAGAGACCCCAGUAGUC